GAGUCGUCCGGCACGAAGACGACCGUGGCUAUGGAGGCGACGAGCAGCGGCAGCGACAGCGAUGCGAGCACGGCCGGGGACACUGUGGCUGCGCUCUCGACGAGGCUGAGGAGUCCCAGGUCCUCGGCCUUGGAGAGCAGUCCGAGCUUCUCCAGCGAGGAGAGCGUGACGCCGAGCUCCUCCGCCUUGGACAGCAGCCCUGCCUUCUCGACGGUGCUCAGCACCUUGCGCUUCUCCAGCUUCUUGAACACGUCCACCGACGCCUCCUCGCUCCCCUCCGCGAAGAUCCCCGCGCCGAACCACUGCUUGGACCACCCAUCGUCG
Molecule: long non-coding RNA, 324 nt
Filed under: Hordeum vulgare
Lineage: Eukaryota; Viridiplantae; Streptophyta; Magnoliopsida; Poales; Poaceae
Description: long non-coding RNA (HVUL_LNC007547)
Source: RNAcentral